AGUGAACGCUGGCGGUAGGCCUAACACAUGCAAGUCGAACGGCAGCACAGUAAGAGCUUGCUCUUACGGGUGGCGAGUGGCGGACGGGUGAGGAAUACAUCGGAAUCUACUUUUUCGUGGGGGAUAACGUAGGGAAACUUACGCUAAUACCGCAUACGACCUACGGGUGAAAGCAGGGGAUCUUCGGACCUUGCGCGAUUGAAUGAGCCGAUGUCGGAUUAGCUAGUUGGCGGGGUAAAGGCCCACCAAGGCGACGAUCCGUAGCUGGUCUGAGGGGAUGACCAGCCACACUGGAACUGAGCACCGGUCCAGACCCCUACGGGAGGCAGGAGGGGGGAAUUUUGGAAAAGGGGCGAAAGCCUGAUCCAGCCAUACCGGGGGGGGGAAAAAGGCCUUCGGGUUGUAAACCCCUUUUUUGGGGAAAAAAAAGCAGCAGGUUAAUACCCCGCUGUUCUGAGGGUACCCAAAGAAAAAGCCCCGGCUAACUUCGU
RNAcentral lists this ribosomal RNA (491 nucleotides) under uncultured bacterium. RNAcentral's name for it is "partial 16S ribosomal RNA". It matches the Rfam family "Bacterial small subunit ribosomal RNA", at positions 29 to 506 of the family's 1533-position model. The record is from RNAcentral.